GUAGGGUGCAAGCGUUAAUCGGAAUUACUGGGCGUAAAGCGUGCGCAGGCGGGGUUUGUAAGUCUGUCGUGAAAGCCCCGGGGCUCAACCUGGGAAUUGCGAUGGAGACUGCAAGGCUUGAAUCUGGCAGAGGGGGGUAGAAUUCCACGUGUAGCAGUGAAAUGCGUAGAGAUGUGGAGGAACACCGAUGGCGAAGGCAGCCCCCUGGGUCAAGAUUGACGCUCAUGCACGAAAGCGUGGGGAGCAAACAGGAUUAGAUACCCUGGUAGUCCACGCCCUAAACGAUGUCUACUAGUUGUCGGGUUUUAAUUAACUUGGUAACGCAGCUAACGCGUGAAGUAGACCGCCUGGGGAGUACGGUCGCAAGAUUA
This 371-nucleotide ribosomal RNA is filed under the name uncultured organism. Its description in RNAcentral is "partial 16S ribosomal RNA". It matches the Rfam family "Bacterial small subunit ribosomal RNA", at positions 527 to 896 of the family's 1533-position model. The record is from RNAcentral.